GCAAGACGGAAAGACCCCGUGAACCUUUACUAUAGCUUGACACUGAACAUUGAGCCUUGAUGUGUAGGAUAGGUGGGAGGCUUUGAAGUGUGGACGCCAGUCUGCAUGGAGCCGACCUUGAAAUACCACCCUUUAAUGUUUGAUGUUCUAACGUGGACCCGUGAUCCGGGUUGCGGACAGUGUCUGGUGGGUAGUUUGACUGGGGCGGUCUCCUCCUAAAGAGUAACGGAGGAGCACGAAGGUUGGCUAAUCCUGGUCGGACAUCAGGAGGUUAGUGCAAUGGCAUAAGCCAGCUUGACUGCGAGCGUGACGGCGCGAGCAGGUGCGAAAGCAGGUCAUAGUGAUCCGGUGGUUCUGAAUGGAAGGGCCAUCGCUCAACGGAUAAAAGGUACUCCGGGGAUAACAGGCUGAUACCGCCCAAGAGUUCAUAUCGACGGCGGUGUUUGGCACCUCGAUGUCGGCUCAUCACAUCCUGGGGCUGAAGUAGGUCCCAAGGGUAUGGCUGUUCGCCAUUUAAAGUGGUACGCGAGCUGGGUUUAGAACGUCGUGAGACAGUUCGGUCCCUAUCUGCCGUGGGCGCUGGAGAACUGAGGGGGGCUGCUCCUAGUACGAGAGGACCGGAGUGGACGCAUCACUGGUGUUCGGGUUGUCAUGCCAAUGGCACUGCCCGGUAGCUAAAUGCGGAAGAGAUAAGUGCUGAAAGCAUCUAAGCACGAAACUUGCCCCGA
RNAcentral lists this ribosomal RNA (728 nucleotides) under Salmonella enterica. Its description in RNAcentral is "partial 23S ribosomal RNA". It matches the Rfam family "Bacterial large subunit ribosomal RNA", at positions 2075 to 2802 of the family's 2925-position model. The record is from RNAcentral. Lineage: Bacteria; Pseudomonadati; Pseudomonadota; Gammaproteobacteria; Enterobacterales; Enterobacteriaceae. RNAcentral also lists the same sequence under 1 other name.